RNAcentral lists this ribosomal RNA (455 nucleotides) under uncultured bacterium. RNAcentral's name for it is "partial 16S ribosomal RNA". It matches the Rfam family "Bacterial small subunit ribosomal RNA", at positions 355 to 801 of the family's 1533-position model. The record is from RNAcentral.
UAGGGAAUCUUCCACAAUGGACGCAAGUCUGAUGGAGCAACGCCGCGUGAGUGAAGAAGGUUUUCGGACCGUAAAGCUCUGUUGUUGGUGAAGAAGGAUAGAGGUAGUAACUGGCCUUUAUUUGACGGUAAUCAACCAGAAAGUCACGGCUAACUACGUGCCAGCAGCCGCGGUAAUACGUAGGUGGCAAGCGUUGUCCGGAUUUAUUGGGCGUAAAGCGAGCGCAGGCGGAAGAAUAAGUCUGAUGUGAAAGCCCUCGGCUUAACCGAGGAAUUGCAUCGGAAACUGUUUUCCUUGAGUGCAGAAGAGGAGAGUAGAACUCCAUGUGUAGCGGUGGAAUGCGUAGAUAUAUGGAAGAAUACCAGUGGCGAAGGCGGCUCUCUGGUCUGCAACUGACGCUGAGGCUCGAAAGCAUGGGUAGCGAACAGGAUUAGAUACCCUUGGUAGUCCAUGCC